AUGCACCAGAUACUGACUGCCUGCUGCUCAGUUGAGUUCAUUCAUACUGAUGUGUGUGUGACUGUGGCUGUCAGGUCCAGAACAGUGCUAAAGAAAUGCAAGACCCUGAGAUAUAAGCUUUGAGCAGGGAGUCAUUCCCUCAGGUGUUAUAACUCUAGGGCACAACU
Molecule: non-coding RNA, 167 nt
Organism: Myxocyprinus asiaticus (Chinese sucker)
Lineage: Eukaryota; Metazoa; Chordata; Actinopteri; Cypriniformes; Catostomidae
Product: small Cajal body-specific RNA 1
Exons: 1
Source: RefSeq, a predicted model, not a curated record